Molecule: long non-coding RNA, 3178 nt
Organism: Triticum urartu
Lineage: Eukaryota; Viridiplantae; Streptophyta; Magnoliopsida; Poales; Poaceae
Source: RefSeq, a predicted model, not a curated record
UCCAUUGUUUAGAAGAAAGAAAGAAAAUGUGUUCGCUUGCCCUGCCCUCAUUCCCCAUCCGCACAUCCCUCUCCCUCACUCGUCUGCCGCCGCCACCACCACCACCGGCGACCUCCUCCAUGGUUGCCACCCCACCCCCUUCUCUCCCCCAUUACCUUCUCCUCAUCAGCGACCUCCUUCCCUCCCCCUCACCGGAUCCGAGGCGUGCGGGCGCGGAGGCGAGCUUCUUCAGCGGUGUCCGCCUCCCUCUCAUCUCCUCUGCUACUGCUCCGCCUCUCCAACCGCCCCGGGUCGCAGCCGCACCGCACGACGGCAGGCCAGGCGAGCUGCACCGCACCAGGUGGGCUAGGGCGAUCUCCAACGCGAGCGCGCGCACCCGUUGCCCACGCCAGCGUGGUCCCCGGCCCCGAGCAACAGGAACACAUGGUCCCUACCCGGGUCGCCGUAGCCGACACCGUCAAAGAGGGGUGGCGGUGUGGACAAGGACGCCAUGGCUGUCUUCGCCGAGAGCGUCCGCAUCUUCAUCCACUGUCUCUCCACCAUGACCAUGAGUAGGGUUGCUCAUCAUUAAGAAGUGUGUUUGUUCAUGGAUAGUUGCACAGUGGAGGAAGAAUUUGGUUAUUUGGAGUGUGCACUGGAGUUAUUGGAAGAUAAUUCCAUUACUAGAUCACAACUUUUGGGACAUAAGUACAGAAGGUGUUUGAUGAAAGUUCAGCAACAUCCAAGCAUGCUCAACUCCAGUUCGCCAACACUCAAAAUUUAAACAAAACGAGAACAUCGAGUGUGCACUACUGAUGCCAUCAUGAAAGGUUUCCCUACAAAUAAAAACCAUAAGUUUCAGAAAUACGACAAGAAAGGUCAUGGGUAAGACAAGACAGCAGAUGGCUUUGUUUAUCAAUCAAGGCAUUAUUAUGUCACCAUGAACAUUGGGGAUCCGGCCAAGCCUUACUUCCUGGGUAGCCCAAGUUUGCUUGACUGUUGGUUGUGCAGUCCUUUAUUCUGUAACUGUACCUUGACUAUCAAGGCAUGCAGUGCCAUUUGUUUCUUGUAAACUUGUCUUACCUUUCAUGCAUUUGUCUGUUUAGAUAUUGUAAUUUGAUUUCCCGCUUCUCCGUAGAACAAAGGAGGAGGUAUGGCAUGCAAUCUAUUGGAAAUGUGUUGAUGUACUUCUUAACAGGAAGGUUGUUGACAAUAACCACACGUAAUUUUCUGGCAUCUAUGCUAUUCUCUGUACUAACACAUGCUGGUGUUGCUGUCAGUCUUCCAUGGCAGGUCUGAAAGUUGGGAAUAGAAGCAUAAAUAUGAGAAAAUCAACGAAAUAAAAAUUGCUACCAUUUAGGCAUCUUAUUUAUUGUAUUCUCUUACAUGUAGGUCCUCUGUCAUGAAUAUCCUACUGAAUUUGCAUCUUAUUUUCAUUACUACCGCUCACUGCGUUAUGAAAAUACGUCAGACUAUCAGAUCUCAAGAAAUUGUUCUGCUUGAGAGUGCAGAUGGCGUAAGGCAGGAAAGGAAAAAGGCUUUUUGUGGUGAUCGGGAUCAAUACCGCCUUCGGUAGCAAGAAGCGUCGUGAUUCUGUCAGGGGGGCCUGGAUGCCUCAAGGUGAGAAACUCAAGAAAUUGGAAGAGGAAAGGGGAGUCGUCAUUUGAUUUAUGACCGCUUCAUUUCGUGUUUCCUCUGUGUGGUGUGAGGUGCGUGUUGUUUUGAGAGCUUGAAGCAAGCAGAACGCCUAAGGAGCGUCCUGGGGAUGACAGAGGCAUUGGCGACGACAUCAGGCGAGAGAUGAAGACGACAUCGAUCAAGAGCUGCUUGCACAACCAGAGGCGGCAUGGGCUCAACGCAAGUGGACCAUCAUCCAGCACGUCUUGUUCCCGUCCAUGCGACAUUUCCUCAUACAUGAGGGCUACAUCAUUUACAAAUUUUGAUUAUGUACGCCUACAAGGUAUUUGUUGAAAAUCCCAGAGGGCUGGCAGGGAAGGAGUGGUCUAUAUAAGCCAUGUGAUUCCAUUCUUCAAAAAAUCAGUACCAGACAAUCAUAACAAGAUGAUUUUGAGAUUAACGAGAAUCCAUGAGAUGAAUAAAAGUAUGAAGAAACAAGGAAUUCUGUCACAGGAGAAACUGUGGUACAACACUUCAACACGGCACAGGAGGCAGAUCAGGGCAACUUCAAGGAUAAGGCAACAUCUGCAGACCUGGAGGUGGUUGAGGUGACCUUGCUGUUGGAGUGGUUUGCCGAUUAUCGGCAGUUUGGUUGCACGCUGGAGCUUAUCACAAACAACACACAGGAUCUCAGUUCUGUACGGGCUAUGGUGGGAUAGGAGGGAUCCUGCGCUACCGGGUUGAGGUGAACGCUUACGAAGACAUACUUGAUAAGGAGUAUGAUGAAGACUUUGAAGACCAGUCAACUGAAACUCCAGUGAAUUCAGUACAGGAGGAGCAUGUCCUAGCCCGGAACCGGAACGCGCUACGCGCCACAGCAGGAGGCUGAGGCAUCUACAAGCUCAUCGAGGAAAGCUUAAGGAAGACAACGAGAAGACUUGAGAAAUGAUGAUAUAAAGUAUGCUGCUGUUGCAUGAGUUAAGUCCUCUCAGCGUGAUUGGGAGGUAUCUAGACAAAUCUAAGACAAGUAAUUUGGGAUGGAGGUAAUACAAACCAAAGUAAUUUGCCCAACAAUCACCAAGCCACAUACAUGCGACAUUGUACCGAGUAGGCAAUCCAACUUUCUUUUGACAGUGAGUAGGAAAAAAAUGGCAUGACUUCAAGUGCGACCACUAGAACUGUGUGAGAUACCCUUUUUUGUAAUAGAUGAUGCGUCAUCAACACAUCCUGAUAGUGAGCUGUGUUUGAACCUAUGGAGAUUGCUUCUGUAGACAAGCUUUACAAGAUCUUCGAGAGAGGCCAGCUAACACGUAGGCCAUCAGUCACUCCAUAUGUAGAGAAGGGAUGGACAGCGCGACUGACGCCUUUGCUGGUUCCUUCUGGCACGUGUAUAUAUAAUGUGGUGGCACUAUCAAAGUUGAAGUACUGAUUGUGCCCAUUCCAAAUGAACUGUUUCUCUGAACUUUGUUCUUAAAUAGACACAUCGGGUCAUCCCUCCUCGGUAAAGGGGUUAGUUUGUUUGUUCUUUCAUCAGCUCACUCCAAGCUUGAUUACAUGGAGCAUUAUGAAAAGGUUCCUUGGA